AUGAACUUUGGAGUAACUUCGCCUUUUCAUCUGCAGAGUGCCUGUCACUGUGGGCUGGGUAGUGGCGUUCCUUGCUGCUGGUCGUGCUUUCCCUCGUCAGAAAUUGAGUACAAGAUGGAGAUGAUCCUCCAAAGAUGCCUUUCACCAAAAAAAAAAAGCGCUCACUUUCUGCAGACAACCUCAUCGUGUUGGACCAGAGAUACUUCUUACCUUGGAAGAAAAGACAGGCUAUGGGCGCAGAUUGGGAAUUGGAAGACUCUCAAGAUAAAACAGAAUUGUCAUGUGGAGCUCCUUGUGAGGAAUCAGGCAAAAAUUCCUUUUCUGUUAGAGGGACCAAAGAGGCACCCUUUUCCCUCAAAGAGGGACCCUUUUUCUGUUCUUGAUUGCAGCAAAAUGACCUUGGAUUAGCCACUUCCUGCCCCCUGAGGUGGCUGCAAAGAUGACUGAGUACUGCAGAACUUCCUAGGUUACCUAAAAUAAAGACUUAAUUUGACUGGGUAACUUCGUGGGU
RNAcentral lists this long non-coding RNA (511 nucleotides) under Anser cygnoides (Swan goose). Its description in RNAcentral is "lncRNA (ENSACDG00005006749.1)". The record is from RNAcentral. Lineage: Eukaryota; Metazoa; Chordata; Aves; Anseriformes; Anatidae.